RNAcentral lists this ribosomal RNA (424 nucleotides) under uncultured bacterium. Its description in RNAcentral is "bacterial SSU rRNA". It matches the Rfam family "Bacterial small subunit ribosomal RNA", at positions 107 to 518 of the family's 1533-position model. The record is from RNAcentral.
UGAGUAACACGUAUCCAACCUUCCCUAACUAACUCAGGGAGUACGCCUUUUACGAAGAAAGAUUUAAUACCUGAUAGUACUUUUUCUAAGGCAUCUUGAGAAGUUUAAAGAUUUAUUUGGUUAUGGAUGGGGAUGCGUUCCAUUAGAUAGUUGGUGAGGUAACGGCUCACCAAGUCUUCGAUGGAUAGGGGUUCGUGAGAGGAAGGUCCCCACCAUUGGUACUGAGACACGGACCAAACUCCUACGGGAGGCAGCAGUGAGGAAUAUUGGUCAAUGGGCGAGGAGCCUGAACCAGCCAAGUAGCGUGAAGGAAUGAAGGUCCUAUGGAUUGUAAACUUCUUUUAUAGUAGAAUAAAGUGAUCCACGUGUGGAUUUUGUAUGUAUACUAUGAAUAAGGAUCGGCUAACUCCGUGCCAGCCGCCGC